AUUAUAGAUCUACCAUGAUAUUAGCGCCAUCUGUCCAAUUUAUAGAACUCAGUCACUAAUCACACCGUCAGAGAUAGAAUAAAUUAUAUAGGUAUUGUGAUUUAGUGAAAGGUGUACGGUUAAUUUUGUGAUUAUUUUAUCAAAAAAUAUUUGUUUAAACAUGAUGCAAUUUAUGUUAUUAUUCAGUCGCCAAGGAAAGUUGCGUUUACAAAAGUGGUAUGUGGCACAUCCUGAUAAAUUGAAGAAGAAAAUUACAAGGGAAUUGAUUACAACAAUAUUAGCACGAAAACCUAAAAUGUCAAGCUUCUUAGAAUGGAAGGAUGUUAAAGUUGUUUAUAAAAGAUAUGCAAGUUUAUAUUUUUGUUGUGCAAUAGAGCAAAACGAUAAUGAAUUACUUACCUUAGAAAUUAUACAUCGUUAUGUUGAAUUGCUGGAUAAAUAUUUUGGAAGUGUAUGCGAAUUAGAUAUAAUUUUUAACUUUGAAAAAGCAUACUUUAUCUUAGAUGAACUAUUGGUUGGUGGCGAGAUUCAAGAGACUAGCAAAAAGAAUGUAUUAAAAGCCAUUGCAUCUCAGGAUUUACUACAGCAGGUUUUAUUAAGGUACUUUUUCAACUAUUUUUCCUUCUUUAAAAGUGCUACUAGGAUCGUUAUUAUUUGUUAGGAAGGUAUUUCAUUAAAAUUGGUCAAGUUUAUGAUAUGCACAUCCGUUUAACCGUAAGCACAGAAAUAUUCUGUGCAUAGCAUGCAACACAGACAUUUCUUUUGAAUGAUGCUUAAGCAUUUCAAACGAGGCAAUAAAUAAAUAUGUGCUUUGUGCAGCUUUGUGUAUCCAUACAAGUAUAUACUGUUAUAUGAAAAGGGUUCAGUUCACCAUUUGAAGCUGCAUCAAGAAGAUUACUUAAUUGCAAAGUAGGAUGAGACUCCACAAGGAUUCUUUGAGGACCAUGGUUUGGGAUAAUAUUUUCUAGACAAUUUGUCACACUUAAAGUAAGUGGACUUACAAUGAUCAUCCAACAUUCCAGAAUUGUAUUUACCAUAUACUAUGUUUACUACUACAUUUAAGAGUAUAGUGCUGAAGACAUCUUAAUUAAUCAGACUUAAUUUUUUAAAUUAAAUUAAUACUUAUAAUAAACGAGUACAAUAUUAUCAUAGAUAAUUAUAACUGCUUCUUCAGUAUCAUUAAUUUUUCCUGUUGAAAUAAUAGCAGUUCUACAUGACUUGAUAUUAUGUGCAUAUUUUUUAUAAGGUGCUCGUAGGAUAUUGAGUUAUAUCUAAUCACUUUUCGAAACCAAACUAUGCACAUGCAUUUUAAAACUGUGUACACUUUUCUAAUUUUUUAAUCAGUAAUUAUAUUUUUGUGUCUUAUGUAAAAAAUAAUCAAUAAUUUUCACUUGAAAACUUUUCUUCAAAUUUAAAGAAUUGUAUCAAAUUCCUCAGAUAAAAAUAUGUUCAAGUGAUGAAAUUCAGUCUAUGAAUAUAACAGUUGAAAUGCUAGAAAAUUAAUUAAAACUUUAAUUAUUCCAUUUCUCAAUCUACCUUGGACAAUAAUUAAACGAUUCAAUUAUAAGAAAUACUACAUAAAAAUCAUUGUUAACAACAGAAGAUUCUUGUUAACAGAUAUAUAAUUGUUGAUUUAAUUUUAUUAAGCUACAAUUAAGCAAAUUACACAGGUAAGAAAGUCGAAGUUUCCAAGAAGCAAUUAUAAUUUUACAGUCAAAUAAUUAUCUUUUCAUUUUAUGAUAAUACUAUCUAUUUUUAAAUAAAAAUUAAUUGUACUAUCUUAUAGUUUUCUUCAAUAUUAUCAAUCUAUUAAUGUCAUACUAAUUAUAUAUAAAUAGAAACAGGUAUGCAGAAACUUUUAAAAGACUAUUGCAAUUAAAUGUUUUAUUUAAGUGCACAAUUUUAGUAUUACAUAAAGACACAUAAAUAUUGUCUUACGUAUUUACAUAUUAUUUUACAUUGUCUCGUUUAUUCGCCUUUAAUUGUUGCUUGAAAAUUGUUCGAUUUGAAAGAGGGAAAACAGUAUUUAUUUAAAUGUGAAUACAUUUCUGUAAAACGUUUCGCAUGUUUGACAAUGUAAGGUAAUGCAAUGUCUAGAAUCCAAUUACAUCGCAAGUCCUUCAUAAACGCAUAUGUUUUAAGUAAUUAGUUCGAACGUAUCCAAACUUCUAAUUUGUAAGUUAAUAGAUUUUCAUGCAAUUGUACAUUGCGCAAAAUGGUUGACGAUUCAAAAUGGUCGUAACUGCAAUAACUAAUAAUAUUUUAGUAUUCGUGUUACAGUUCUAUUAUCUUACAAAUUAAAAAAUUAAUAAGUUUAUAGUUUAUUUACGUCAUGCAUUUAACCAUAAAAAAUAUGAGAAUAGUUAUCAGAUUUUGGAUAUACGUGACUGUAAAAACUGAAAUCUGAGCAUACGCCCAAUGGUAAUUAUGCUCCGACAAAGAGACUGGUACGAAUUAAUUCUAUUUGGUUGAACAAGUUUUUCUUGUUGCUCUGCUUUGAGGCACUUUCAUUUGUGGAAAGUCAAUUAUUAAAGCAUUUGUCAAAUGAUUGCGGGAACGUUUCAUUGGAUCGUUUUCUAGAUUAGAGAUUACUGAGGAUGUCGGUUUCACUGAAAUAUUAUUAUCACGUUGUUUACGAAGAUGUCCAUGAUCCUGUUAAUUAUCAUUCCUAUAGCAAGAUAUUUUUGCAAGUUCUGAUCGCGUUGAUCUUUCCUAUACGUCAUGGCAAAAAAAGAUGUAAUCAAUAUUAGAUGAAACUCUCACGUGAAAAAUAUGUUUGAAAAAGAAUAUUGUUCGUUGAAUGUUUAUUCAUAGUAUUGAUGCAAAUUAAUACGGGAAUAGGUGUUAUACAUAUCUGAGAUAUCUACAUAUAUAUUCGUUGUCCAUUCAUCUUAAACUCUUUCGAAAAGUAUUAUUUUCUUUCCAUCAAUCGAUGGAAAUUCUAUUAAGAUGUUACUGAAAAAGUUUUAUUCUAGCUUCCCGAUGCGCCGAAGAAACUUUCUAAUUAACGUUUUCCUUUCACAUAAAAAAAUUCCGUGUUCAGGCGUUCGGUGUUGAUCUUAAGAAUCGAUAAUUAUAAAGUCUUACUUUAAUAAUAGAUUUUUAAAAUUACGUGUUUUGAAAUCUGAGAAAAUUUUCAGUAUUUUGUAAAAUAUCCGGGCGAUAUUAAUGUGUUCUUUUCAAAUUCGAUAUGCUUGAAACAAUCAAGAAUGAUUUUGUUUUUUUGUGUUUGUUCAUAAACAUUCCAAUAUUUUUGUGCUAUGCAAUAUAUACAUUUGAACGACAAAAAUAUGUACUUAAUCGAAUAUCGGAAAUAUCUUGAAAAUUACGAUGGAAUAUAUUGCCUGGACAUUCUACUUCAUGUUUAAUUUUAAUUGUAACGCAUGAACGUUGGCAUAAGGUUUCACCAAACGAACUAUAGUUUUAGUUGAAGGAAACAAUGGCUAUGUUUAGUUAAUGUAUGUCAUGUACUUUGAGUUUAAAUAUUUAAUUGUGACGUACGUGAAGUAUAAUUGUUAAACAUUUUUUUCUGUACGUUUAAAUACUUUUGUAUGCAGUGUUGCUUUCGGCACAUACGUUCGAUGUUCUUGUUUGUUCAACAUUUAUACUUAUAUACACGGUACUAUUAAAGUUUUUAUUGGGCGACGUUACAUACAGUUCUUUCACGCAAUCAAAAAUAGCGAUUAAGUGCGCGAAUUUGUUAGAAUCGGCGAUACAGCUGGUUAUUAAACAGAUUUACGAACACUACCAAUGUUAAGCGUAUGAACGUGUAAUACGAUAAUUAUAUGAAUGUUGUAUUGAAAAGACGAUGCUUUGUGCUCCGUCCAUAAUAAACCCUGUAAUGCAAGAACAUAGAUGCUUUC
Molecule: non-coding RNA, 3863 nt
Organism: Nomia melanderi (Alkali bee)
Lineage: Eukaryota; Metazoa; Arthropoda; Insecta; Hymenoptera; Halictidae
Source: RefSeq, a predicted model, not a curated record